UUGGAGAAGUGGCAAGUCUUCCAGUAUGGGGAGCAAAACAGCUAUGGGUCAAGUCCGAUAUCUUUAGGAGGGGCGAAGCUCCUCUUAUUGUGAGGGCGAGUUUUAUAACACCAUAGGACUGGCCGUCCCAUAUGAAAAGAUUAUAUUAGAAUUGAAUGAAGCUUUGUUUAUAUAUUGAUAAUGACAGUAUAUAUAUCGUGUCUUGACUAAUUGCGUGCCAGCAGUCGCGGUAAUACGUAAGAGACUAGUGUUAUUCAUCUUAAUUAGGUUUAAAGGGUACCCAGACGGUCAAUAUAGCUUAUAAAAUGUUAGUACUUGACUAGAGUUUUAUGUAAGAGGGCAGUACUUGAGGAGGAGAGAUGAAAUUUCGUGAUACCAAAGGGACUCUGUAAAGGCGAAGGCAGCCCUCUAUGUAAAAACUGACGUUGAAGGACGAAGGCACAGAGAACAAACAGGAUUAGAUACCCAAGUAGUCUUUGCAGUAAAUGAUGAAUGCCAUAGGUUAGAUGGGUGGGUUAGUUGUAGUUGAGUUAGUUUAGCAAACUAAUGGAUUCAGGCUAGUCCACCAUAUAUUUGGUCUAUAAAUGAAAGUGUAAGCAUUUCACCUCAAGAGUAAUGUGGCAACGCAGGAACUGAAAUCACUAGACCGUUUCUGACACCAGUAGUGAAG
RNAcentral lists this ribosomal RNA (670 nucleotides) under Fusarium napiforme. Its description in RNAcentral is "SSU rRNA". The stretch from base 72 to 670 matches the Rfam family "Bacterial small subunit ribosomal RNA", at positions 1 to 937 of the family's 1533-position model. Lineage: Eukaryota; Fungi; Ascomycota; Sordariomycetes; Hypocreales; Nectriaceae. The record is from RNAcentral.